AGAGAAUAGUUUAAUAAAAAUUUUAAUUUUGGAGAUUAAAGAUAAAAAGAUAUUUUUUUCUCUGAA
RNAcentral lists this transfer RNA (66 nucleotides) under Coleoptera sp. ACP-2013. RNAcentral's name for it is "tRNA-Pro". Lineage: Eukaryota; Metazoa; Arthropoda; Insecta; Coleoptera. The record is from RNAcentral.